AAUCAGACAUCCAGGCAGAAAGAGGGUCAGCCUCUGCCUUCAUCUGAAAUCGCAACUUAAACAAAUAUCAGGUAACUUUUUCGUAUAUAAAGGCACACAGGAAGCAGAGGAGGGCAGCCCAGAACAGCUGACCCAACCUCCCAGUUGCACUUUUGCCACAAGAAAAGGUUAAAAACCAUACCCACUUGGCUGUUAUACAAAUAACUUUGUUUCAACACAGUGUGUAGGUGAAUAAAAGAGACUGUGUAUGCAUGGGGAAAAUAAAUGUGAUGUUAAUUAUUAAUUUUGACAAGUCUAUAUUUCUUCAUAUAUAUUUUUUCAGGGCUAAAGUUUCAGGAGGGAGGAGGAGGAGAAACCUUGAAGCUGAAUGAGUCCCACUUGUGGCUUGGACUCUCACUGCACAGCAUACAAUAAAAUGGGUUGUGUUAUGAAAAUAGGUUGUGACAGACCAUGGUGAAACCAUGGUGAGCGUGGUCUCGUUUGUGUAAUAAAGGGGUUUGCAAAUGUGGUAUUAAAACGGGGAAUCUACAAAUGCAAAAUAAGCUAGGGAGGAUAUUAUCUAAAGGUUUCUGUAUGUUAACUGGCUUCAAAGGCACACAAGACAUUUUCAGCUGGUACACCAGUUGUGGUAAAAGUGUGAUAGAAUGUCAUGAGGUUUGCCAUUCAAGAUGAAACCCAUGGUUUAUUUUUGACAACCACAAACCUUUUUGUCAAAACCAGCAUGAAACACACACAGAUGCUACUUCAUUCUGUGUCUCCUUCCCUUGGGGAAGAGCAUUUGAGGACCCAACUCAAUGCCUAGAUCUCUCAUCUCUUUAAACAUUGGCAAACAGCAGCUGAAGGAGGGCCCAGUCUGGACCAGGACUGUGCCACUGAGGAAUUUACUCUUUCCACAUGCGCCAUUUUUUGAUUGAAAAACAUCCCCCUGAUAUUUGGCCUUAUUAGGGGGAAAGGAUGUUACACAAAAUGGUAGGCAGAGGAUGUGAUGGGGGACAAGUUCUGCAGCAAUUCCUCCCCCCCCACACACACACAUGCUUUCAGG
Molecule: non-coding RNA, 1042 nt
Organism: Podarcis lilfordi (Lilford's wall lizard)
Lineage: Eukaryota; Metazoa; Chordata; Lepidosauria; Squamata; Lacertidae
Source: the annotation of a GenBank genome assembly